This 498-nucleotide ribosomal RNA is filed under the name uncultured bacterium. RNAcentral describes it as "partial 16S ribosomal RNA". It matches the Rfam family "Bacterial small subunit ribosomal RNA", at positions 28 to 507 of the family's 1533-position model. The record is from RNAcentral.
GACGAACGCUGGCGGCAUGCCUAACACAUGCAAGUCGAACGGAGAUUCUUUCGGUACUCUUAGUGGCGAACGGGUGAGUAACGCGUGGGCAACCUGCCCUCUAGAUGGGGACAACAUCCCGAAAGGGGUGCUAAUACCGAAUGUGACAGCAAUCUCGCAUGAGGAUGCUGUGAAAGAUGGCCUCUAUUUAUAAGCUAUCGCUAGAGGAUGGGCCUGCGUCUGAUUAGCUAGUUGGUGGGGUAACGGCCUACCAAGGCGAUGAUCAGUAGCCGGUCUGAGAGGAUGAACGGCCACAUUGGGACUGAGACACGGCCCAGACUCCUACGGGAGGCAGCAGUGGGGAAUCUUCCGCAAUGGGCGAAAGCCUGACGGAGCAAUGCCGCGGGAGUGAUGAAGGAAUUCGUUCCGUAAAGCUCUUUUGUUUAUGACGAAUGUGCAGAUUGUGAACAAUGAUCUGUAAUGACGGUAGUAAACGAAUAAGCCACGGCUAACUACGUG